Long non-coding RNA from Carassius gibelio (silver crucian carp), 947 nucleotides. RefSeq lists it as uncharacterized. NCBI's taxonomy places the organism in Eukaryota, Metazoa, Chordata, Actinopteri, Cypriniformes, Cyprinidae. The record is from RefSeq and is a predicted model, not a curated record. The transcript has 2 exons.
UUGGUGGUGCUGUGGUUAUGUUUAAUUAUAUACACAUGCGCAAUUAUACAAAAAUCACUUUUUUAAAACUACAACAAAAAAAUUGAUAUCACAAAUAUUGACGAAUGGGAUGUGAAUUGGUUGAGCUGCACUAGAGAAGGCAACGAGUGUGAUAUAUACGUAGUUGACCAUGAAGACUGGAAGAGAAAAAAAUAACUAUAAAGGCACUUUUCCUUUACUGAUAAAAUGAGCCAAAAAAAGACAUUUCACUGAAAAAAAACUAAAUUAUUAGAUCCUCAUGAGAAAUAUUAAAAAUUAGAUCACUACAGUAAUUACAAAGUAAAAACAUGACCACUGGACAGCAAAAUGCUUACUGGGUCAGAAGGGUCAGAAAGAAAAAAAAAACAGGUGGAGAAGAACAGAAACACCUAAACUGCAAAAGAAUUAAAGUGAAGAAUUAGGUGUGACACUAUCAUGGAGCAUUUAGUCUACAGUGCCACCAUUUUCCAGAACUGCAACUUUCCUGGAGUCUCAGAAUUACAAUGUGUCAGGUUCUGAGAGACGUAAAAGAUCCCAAAAAAUGACUUAAUUAGAAUAGCAUGAUGUAUUGUGGAAUACUAUAUAUUAAGACUUUAUAUAUUGGCUUUAUGAACAGAAUAUUUUGAGUGAUUCUUGAAGGACUAGCAUCCCCUCCUCUUGUACGACAAUUUGAGGAAUAUAUCUUCCAGAUAGUACCGUGACUCCCUAUAUGCAGAGUAUGCAGUCUUCAUAGGGCACCAACUUCCAGAGGGGACACCAUCCCAGUUGCUAAAAAAAAAAAAAAAAAAAAAAAACCUGCACCAUUCUCCCAUCUGCGCUCGUGAUCACUCACACCUCAUGUUUGCGGCUGAAUGUUCGUAAUUGACAGAGAAAAGAAAACUAAAGAAAGUAAAAAAAAAAAAAAAAAAAAAAACAGGCAUAAAUUUGGC